This 2101-nucleotide long non-coding RNA is filed under the name Rhagoletis pomonella (apple maggot). Its description in RNAcentral is "uncharacterized LOC118750412". Lineage: Eukaryota; Metazoa; Arthropoda; Insecta; Diptera; Tephritidae. The record is from RNAcentral.
AAGUGCAAUAUGAGUUAUCAAAUCAUAAAAAUUGUGUUCUUUUUCAUAAAUAUUUUCACUUCGGUGGAAGUAAUGGAAGAAUUGUUCGACUUAAGGCGGCAAUUAUUGAGAAGAUUGCUCAUUGCGCAAAUGAUUCUUAAACUAGCUUGUGUAUGUGACUGCGCUUCAAUAAGGUCCUGCUGGACGAAGAUCCGUCGCCAGACAUUCUGGGAAGUCGAUUGCCAGCUGAAUUCGGAAGUAUUUUUUAAGAGUAACUUUCGAAUGAAUCGUAAAUCCUUCAGAAAAUUGUGUCAUAUGUUGAUUGGUAUGGAAAGAAGAAAUACCCACUAUCGGAAAGCAAUUGUGUUGGAGAAACGAGUUGCAAUUGCAUUGUACGCGCUUGGCUCUUCCGCAGAAUACCGCACAAUUGCAAAUAUGUUCGGAGUUGGUAAAAGUACUGUCGGCCGCAUAUUAAUUGAGUUCUGCCAUGAGGUUUGGAAAUGUUUGUGGCCUUUAUAUUUAAAAAAUUUUCCAAUGACCGAAGUUAAGUUAAGGGAAUUCAUAAAUGGCUUUCAAUCACUAGGUUUCCCUUAAGUCUUAGGAGCCAUUGAUGGAUGUCAUAUAGAAGUUCAUCCAGCAAGAGAGGAUGCAAUUGACUACCACAAUUACAAAGGUUGGUACUCAACCGUACUUUUGGCUUUAGUAGAUGCAAGGUACGUUUUUAUGUGAAGUACUUUUGUUCUGGUUAUAGGAAAAUUUAUUUUAUUCUGUAGAUGUCGUUUUAUAUAUAUUAAUGUCGGCAGCCAAGGCCGUUGCAAUGAUUCAGCAAUUUUUGAGAGCUCCCAUUUAAAAAACGAGUUUUUACAAUGCAGUUUGUACAAAGAUAUGAGCAAGCAAAUAUCUGGGGUCAACGUUCCAGUCGUGUUACUAGGUGACUCUGCUUUUAAGUUAGAUGAGCAUUUAAUGAAGCCGUUUCCAUUUAACAUUGACCAAUCAUUGCAACAAAAAAAAUUCAAUUUUGCCCUGUCAAAAUGUCGAAGAGUUGUAGAGAAUGCUUUUGGCCAUUUAAAGGCCAGGUUCAGACGGGUUGGAAAAGGUUUGGACAACCAGAUGGUAAACACCACAUCAAUAAUAAAGGCAUGCUGUAUUUUGCACAAUUUCCUUAAUGAGGAAAAUGAUGAAGUCAAUGAAAGAUGGAUUUCCGCACAGCAAACUGAAGAACAAAGUCGACAUCGGCCAGAAAGUACUCCCAACAAUUAUGGAAAUUUUAAUUCGAGAGCACAGGAAAUAAGACAAGCAUUCGUUUCAUAUUUUGAUUCACUGGUGGAGGGCCCGUUACAGGAUUCUACAAGGGAGCACUGAGAAUUGAGAACUAGAGUACCAGUUUGUGACUCUCCAUCAGUGUCACAUUCAAUAAGAUAUUAUUCAGUAAUGGUGUAGUCCAAAUCAUCUGAAAAUAUAUAAUUCGCACAAAAAACUAUUUAAGCCUAUUCCGGUCCGACGGAUGCUAUUCGCACGAAUCUAAUCCUUCACUCUCGCUUGUUACGACAGUGCAAAUCAGAUUAUUUCCAUGCGGAUGGCAUCCGUCGGAUACCGUAAUAGGUAUGACUAAAUAAAAGGUCUUAUUAAGUACACCUAUUAUGCUAUCCUCUUGCAGCGCAACUGCAUCAAAGCUCUUAUGUGCACCGAGAACUUCGUGGACUGCCCCAUAAUGCUUCCACUCUGAUGGAGAGCCACCGGAUGGACCAAUUUUCGCCUUUUCUUGUCUAUGGAGAUAAUAAAUUAAUAAAUAAAUAUCUAUGCUGAUAUAAAUUCAGUACUUACCUGUAUUUUUUUGAUAAAUUGUGAAGCUUUGUCUUCACUUCAGCGGCAGUGAUAUUAUGGCCACUAUUAUCCAGCUCGACUGCCAUUUCUUCAUAAAUGUGGCCAUUCUUCCUUACCGACCGCAGCUCUGGCAUUUUUUCUCGCCAUAACUCAAUCAGGAGUUCUUCUGCGGCAUCGCUCCACAAAAUACGUUUUUUUUUGCUUUCUGUCGCCAUUCUUUAUAAUUUGAAUAUGCAUUUGAAUGUGACAUUUUGAAAUUUUAAAUCAGCUGUAGUGAACGUAUUUUUUGAAUUUUAAC